Molecule: ribosomal RNA, 166 nt
Filed under: Abrotanella emarginata
Lineage: Eukaryota; Viridiplantae; Streptophyta; Magnoliopsida; Asterales; Asteraceae
Also listed under: 5 other names
Description: 5.8S ribosomal RNA
Rfam family: 5.8S ribosomal RNA (bases 1-136)
About the family: 5.8S ribosomal RNA (5.8S rRNA) is a component of the large subunit of the eukaryotic ribosome. It is transcribed by RNA polymerase I as part of the 45S precursor that also contains 18S and 28S rRNA.
Source: RNAcentral
UCGGCUCACGCAUCGAUGAAGAACGUAGCAAAAUGCGAUACUUGGUGUGAAUUGCAGAAUCCCGUGAACCAUCGAGUUUUUGAACGCAAGUUGCGCUCGAAGCCAUUCGGCUGAGGGCACGUCUGCCUGGGCGUCACGCAUCGCGUCGCCCCCAACCAUGACUCCU